CAACAGUUAGUCCACAGUGUCACAUUUCUUCCUGAGUGACUUUAUAUACACACAAGGUAAUGUUUUUCUUAUUAUUUUCUUAUUCCCUCCUUCAACAGUUAGUCCACAGUGUCACAUUUCUUCCUGAGUGACUUUAUAUACACACAAGGUAAUGUUAUUUUUAUUAUUUUCUUAUUCCCUCCUUCAACAGUUAGUCCACAGUGUCACGGUAAUGAGUGUAGCACAAGCCCAGUGACCCUUGAAUCUCCCUUGAACUUAAAAUCUCAAUGAUGCCAAAACUAUUCUACUCCUAAACACAAUCUCUCACCACCCCUAUAGUUGAGACCUGUCCACACACACACACACACACUACGCUGCCAGGAGUGGGUACUGUCCCCCCAUGAGCUAAAGGAGUGGAGUGUGUGGUGUGUGAGUUCCCCGAGUACCCUGAGAUCAGUCCUUUCAAUUAGCUGUUUUCAGGAGGCUACUGGCUGGUCGUCAUGAGUCUAGUAUGUGAUUGGACCAUGGGUGAAUGAUAGCUAAGGAAUAUUCAGUUGAUAAGUUAGUCAGCUGGUAAAUCCCUUCUUUCUUCUUCUUCUUCCUGGUUCUUUUCCUCCUCCUCCUUCUUCUUCUCACAUUCCUCUGUCUCCAUUUUCUCCAAUAUCACACACACACACACACACACACACACAUCGCCACCUAUCUUUCCAGUAUUCCUCACGUCGCCUCAGGUUAAAUGAACAUGACUUGACCCUUCUCUUGAGGUCAGGGAGGUCAAUGAAGGCUGUCCAGGGCGUAUAUACAUGAUUUCCAACCUUGGCCGCCUCACGAGAUCAGAACACGAAACUAACUGGUCUUGUUAAGGUCAUGUUCUUAAAUGUAUCAGCACCUCACUUUGCCUGUUUGAAAAGCCUCUUGUAGAAGUUGCUGGGAUUUUCAUGGACUGUUUUGUGAUGUCAGGGAUAGUUUUACAUGACUUCUGCAACUUGAACGGGAAAAACACCCAUGAAAACCCAGCUAAUCUUCCCUGUGGCCUCGGGAAAUAGUCAUAAUGGGAGACCGAGACGCCUAUUUGAAGAGCCUCGCGUGGAAGUUGCUGAGAUUUUCAUGGACUGUUUUGUGAUGUCAGGGAUAGUUUUACAUGACUUCUGCAUCUUGAACAAGAAAAACACCCAUGAAAACCUGGCUAAUCUUCCCUGUGGCCUCGGGAAAUAGCCUCUCGUAGAAGUUGCUGGAAUUUUCAUGGACUGUUUUGUGAUGCCAGGGACAGUUUUACAUGACUUCUGCAUCUUGAACGGGAGAAACACCCAUGAAAACCCGGCUAAUCUUUUCUGUAACGUCGGAAAACAGUCGUAACGUGAGCGUGAUGCAUUUAAAAAUAUGUACCUAGGCAUUCUCUUUUAUUUCAUUACAGGAGUGAAUGAUAAAAACUGCCAUGAUUUAUUUUACAGCGCAGCACGUAAGGUUAAAAAAAUAACACCCACAUCCUGCCAUGAGAUUUUUCGUUCCCGGUGUCUUUUUUUUAAAUCUCUCAGAAUCACGCAACACACUAGCAGCUAUUAACUAUUACUGUACUGUGUCAAUAGCUAUGUCUCCAGGUAAGCUGUAGCUGUAGUCAUAAUGAUUGGGAUGAUUCAGAAGUGACCACAGGGAGAGAGAGAGAGAGAAACCCCAAAAUUUAACUUACGUAUAUUAAAAUUUUUCGCUUCAUUUUUAACCACUGAUUGAGAACUGACCGCACAGAGAGAGAGAGAGAGAAAGAGAAAGAGAGAGAGAGAGAGAGAGAGACCCAAAACAGCAACUUAUAUUAAAUUUUUCACUUCAUUUUCAACCACUGAUUCGGAACUAACCGCACAGAGAGAGAGAGAGACCCCAAAAAAUCAACUUAUAUCAACCUUUCCGCUUCAUCUUUCAGCCACUGUGCAAUGUCCGGCAAUAUGUAAUGACAUCGUAAUUUUAUGCGACGGAAAUCAAUGGAAAAUCACCGUAUCCAAGCUAACUCUGGUCUCCCUCCCAUAUCCAGCACUUCUGAAUUAUCCCACUGCGAGGUUUUAGCAGUAGUGCCAAGACAGGCUGAGUCCGCCACCCCAGCCAGUUCUAAGGGCCCUGGGCUGGUUGGCUGGCGGGCUGGACGUAAGUUUUUGUACCUCUUAGUAAAGGUCCGAGUAUAGUCUGUUUGGCGGCCACGUAGGGAGCGACGAGUCCAAUUCCCGACCGAUGUGACGAGUGAAAUGAUUCCUAGUCUUGCUUGAUGAUGAGACGCUGUGCACCCUUACCCCUUACCCUUAAAGACUGUAUUCUUAAACGUAACGGCACCUUAGUAUACCCCUGUUUGAAAAGCCUCUCGUGGAAGUUACUGGGGUUUUCAUGGCCCGUUUUGUGAUCCUGGUGAUAGUUUUACACGACCUCUGUAUCUUGAACGGGAAAAUCACCCAUGAAAACCCGGUUACUCUUCCCUGUGGGCUUUGAAAACAGACGUAAUGGGAGCCCGAGACGCCUGUUUGAAAAGCCUCUCCUGGAAGUUGUUGCUGGAGUUUUCGUGGCCUGUUUUGUGAUGGUACGGACAAAUUUACACGACCUCUGAAUCUUGAAAGGGAAAAACACCCAUGAAAACCCAGUUACUCUUCGCUGCGGCCUUUGAAAACGGACGUAAUGGGAGCCCGAGACGCCUGUUUAAGAAGCCUCUCAUAGAAGUUGUUGCUGGAGUUUCCAUGCAUGGCCUGUUUUGUGAUGCCUAGGGACAGUUUUACAUGACUUCUGCAUCUUGAACGGGAAUAUCACCCGUGAAAACCCGGUUACUCUUCCCUGUGGCCUUGGAAAACAGUCGUAGUGGGAGGCUGAUACGUUUAACAAUAUGGAUCUUAGUUAGUCCCCUUUAGAAUCAGGUUAGAAGUUGUUGUUGUGGUCUAUAGUCAUUGCUUUGUACAGACAUCCAUACAUUCAUACCCAGUGAUAGAGACCGAGUAUUUUCUGUAUAUCAAAGCUGUUCACACUACGAAUAUGUGGUUGUAUUUUGCAUCAGUAUAACCAAGGAACUGUUGGGUAAAUGCCUAUGCACUGUGAUAUUUUCAGCAUAUACAGUAAUGAUGCUUCCCGCUUACCUACUGAAAGGUGUGUGUGCGUGCGAUGUGUGUGCGUGUGCGUGUGUGUCGCUUAGGAGAGCUUAGUUUGUUUUUUAUGAGCAGAGCCUUGAGGCCUGCGUGUUGAGUGUGAGCUGUAGCGCCGGUGUCCCGACCAAAGACGAAAUAUUAAUAAUAGUUGUGAGCGUAGUUUCUGUGACUGUGUGUAGCGCUCGCCUGCCUGCCGGGCGGCGCUCCCUCUAAGGGUAAGAGACUGACUAUGUACUGGCCUCCAGGUGUUGUUGGCGGCCCAGGGAAAUAAAAGUGUGAGCCAACGCACACUAUUCUGUA
Eriocheir sinensis (Chinese mitten crab) is the source of this 3389-nucleotide long non-coding RNA. RefSeq lists it as uncharacterized. The transcript is spliced from 2 exons. The record is from RefSeq and is a predicted model, not a curated record. Lineage: Eukaryota; Metazoa; Arthropoda; Malacostraca; Decapoda; Varunidae.